RNAcentral lists this long non-coding RNA (757 nucleotides) under Homo sapiens (human). Its description in RNAcentral is "novel transcript". The record is from RNAcentral. Lineage: Eukaryota; Metazoa; Chordata; Mammalia; Primates; Hominidae.
GGACCUUGAUUGAGUCCUGUACCGUGCCUCAGUUUCCCCACUUAUAAAAAGAGGUUACUAAAAAGGAUGCUUCACUCAAGGGUGUGAAGACCCAGUGAAUGAAGUGUUAAUAAGAGCUCCACGUAUAGCGAUGCUGCUGUUCAGCUGCACCAGGGUGGACUCCCUUGACUUGCUGGGAGUUACAAUGAGGAAGGAAGGACCGUUAAACCUGUAGGUCUUUCCAGAGAAAGUGCGUUUCCUAAAACCAAAUCCUGCCCUUGCUCCAAAACUGUCAGUGGUGGUUUCCCAUGACCACGCCACAGUCCCAGGGUCUCCCCUGGCCUUCAAGGCUGGCACAGUCUGACCCUGCCAACGUCCCUAGUGCCACCAUCUGUCAGCCCCUCCUUGCUCCUGCUCCUGGUCUGCACAUGCUGUUCUCUUUGCCAAGAAUGCCAUUUCCCCAGCCCCCUGGUCCCGAUGGGGAACACCUCCUCAUCCUUCAAAGCCAAGCUGGAAGGGAACAUCUUUGGAGAUGCCGCUUGACCUCCCAGGCAGAAGGGGUCAUUCUCCCUGGAGAUGUGGUCACGUCAUUAACCACACUGGGUUAGAAUCAUCAGAAGCUGUUCCUGCCUCUUCCGUCAAGCAAGGGGCUCUGGAGGCCAGAAAAUGCCUAUGAAUCAUGCCCACACCCCCAGAGCCCAGCAUGGGGCGGGCUCAGGUUAGGUCAAUCGUGUUUGAAGACUGAAUAAAUGAAUGUCUUCAUUUGCUACCCUCAGAA